UACGGAAGGCAGCAGUGGGGAAUAUUGCACAAUGGGCGAAAGCCUGAUGCAGCUAUGCCGCGUGUAUGAAGAAGGCCUUAGGGUUGUAAAGUACUUUCAUCGGGGAGGAAAAAACAAAACUAAUAAUUUUAUUUCUUGACGUUACCUGAAAAAGAAGCACCGGCUAACUCCGUGCCAGCAGCCGCGGUAAUACGGAGGGUGCUAGCGUUAAUCAGAAUUACUGGGCGUAAAGAGCACGUAGGUGGUUUUUUAAGUCAGAUGUGAAAUCCCUGGGCUUAACCUAGGAACUGCAUUUUGAAACUGAAAUACUAGAGUAUCGUAGAGGGAGGUAGAAUUCUAGGUGUAGCGGUGAAAUGCGUAGAUAUCUGGAGGAAUACCUGUGGCGAAAGCGGGCCUCCUAAACGGAUACUGACACUGAGGUGCGAAAGCGUGGGGAGCAAACGAGGGAUUUAGGAUACC
This 459-nucleotide ribosomal RNA is filed under the name uncultured bacterium. Its description in RNAcentral is "bacterial SSU rRNA". It matches the Rfam family "Bacterial small subunit ribosomal RNA", at positions 340 to 786 of the family's 1533-position model. The record is from RNAcentral.